This 773-nucleotide ribosomal RNA is filed under the name uncultured Neocallimastigales. RNAcentral describes it as "partial large subunit ribosomal RNA". It matches the Rfam family "Eukaryotic large subunit ribosomal RNA", at positions 22 to 637 of the family's 3401-position model. The record is from RNAcentral. Lineage: Eukaryota; Fungi; Neocallimastigomycota; Neocallimastigomycetes; Neocallimastigales.
UAUACAUGACUCUGCGCAUAUCAAUAAGCGGAGGAAAAGAAACUAACAAGGAUUCCCCUAGUAACGGCGAGUGAAGCGGGAAGAGCUCAAAUUUGAAAUCUUAAAGGGUUUCCCUUUACGAAUUGUAGUUUAAAGAAGUGCUUUCUGUUGAGGUUUUGGUAAAAGUUCUUUGGAAUAGGACAUCAUAGAGGGUGAGAAUCCCGUAUUUGACCAUUACUUUCAACUUUGUGAUACACUUUCAAAGAGUCGGAUUGUUUGGGAAUGCAGUCCAAAAUGGGUGGUAAAUUUCAUCUAAAGCUAAAUAUUGGCGAGAGACCGAUAGCGAGCAAGUACCGUGAGGGAAAGAUGAAAAGAACUUUGAAAAGAGAGUUAAACAGUACGUGAAAUUGUCAAAAGGGAAGCGUUUGACACCAGUGUUGUUUUUCUGAAAAUCAAUUAAAGAACUGUUUAUGCUAAGUUGUUUAGACUUUAUCAGCUAACUGUUUAGUUUUGAGCUUUUCUUUAAUGCACUUUUCAGUUAACAAGUCAACAUCAAUUUCUUUUGCUGUAAAAAAGCUUGAGGAAGGUGGCUUGAGAUUCGUCUUAAGUGUUUAUAGCCUCUUGCCUAUGCAGUCGGAGAGAUUGAGGUCUGCAGCGCAGAUCCUUCGGGGCUAAAUGCAUUUGUGCUAAGUUAUAGCAUUUUAUAGACAACUUGUUGACUAUGAUUUGUCUUGUAGCUUACUCGCUUAUGUUAUUUUACCUACGCUUAGGAUGUUGACAGCAGUAUAGACUGU